UACAGAGGGUGCAAGCAUUGUUCGGAAUUAUUGGGCGUAAAGGGCGUGUAGGCGGUUCGAUAAGUCAGGUGUGAAAUCCCUGGGCUCAACCCAGGAACUGCAUUUGAUACUGUUGGACUUGAGUAUGGUAGAGGAUAGUGGAAUUCCCGGUGUAGAGGUGAAAUUCGUAGAGAUCGGGAGGAACACCAGUGGCGAAAGCGGCUAUCUGGGCCAUUACUGACGCUAAGACGCGAGAGCGUGGGGAGCAAACAGG
RNAcentral lists this ribosomal RNA (253 nucleotides) under uncultured bacterium. RNAcentral describes it as "partial 16S ribosomal RNA". It matches the Rfam family "Bacterial small subunit ribosomal RNA", at positions 524 to 776 of the family's 1533-position model. The record is from RNAcentral.